Molecule: ribosomal RNA, 649 nt
Filed under: Siminovitchia fortis
Lineage: Bacteria; Bacillati; Bacillota; Bacilli; Caryophanales; Bacillaceae
Description: bacterial SSU rRNA
Rfam family: Bacterial small subunit ribosomal RNA
Source: RNAcentral
AACGCCGCGUGAGUGACGAAGGCCUUCGGGUCGUAAAACUCUGUUAUCAGGGAAGAACAAGCGUCGGUUAACUGMCGGUGCCUUGACGGUAGCAGACCAGAAAGCCACGGCUAACUACGUGCCAGCAGCCGCGGUAAUACGUAGGUGGCAAGCGUUGUCCGGAAUUAUUGGGCGUAAAGCGCGCGCAGGCGGCUUCUUAAGUCUGAUGUGAAAGCCCACGCUCAACAGUGGAGGGUCAUUGGAAACUGGGAGGCUUGAGUGCAGAAGAGAAGAGCGGAAUUCCACGUGUAGCGGUGAAAUGCGUAGAGAUGUGGAGGAACACCAGUGGCGAAGGCGGCUCUUUGGUCUGUAACUGACGCUGAGGCGCGAAAGCGUGGGGAGCGAACAGGAUUAGAUACCCUCGUAGUCCACGCCGUAAACGAUGAGUGCUAAGUGUUAGGCGGUUUCCGCCCCUUAGUGCUGCAGCAAACGCAUUAAGCACUCCGCCUGGGGAGUACGGCCGCAAGGCUGAAACUCAAAGGAAUUGACGGGGGCCCGCACAAGCGGUGGAGCAUGUGGUUUAAUUCGAAGCAACGCGAACAACCUUACCAGGUCUUGACAUCCCGCUGACCGGUGCAGAGAUGUGCCUUUCCCAUCGGGGACAGCGGUG